This 460-nucleotide ribosomal RNA is filed under the name gamma proteobacterium BAL203. RNAcentral's name for it is "bacterial SSU rRNA". It matches the Rfam family "Bacterial small subunit ribosomal RNA", at positions 40 to 495 of the family's 1533-position model. The record is from RNAcentral. Lineage: Bacteria; Pseudomonadati; Pseudomonadota; Gammaproteobacteria.
CGGCAGGCCUAACACAUGCAAGUCGAGCGGUAGAGAGAAGCUUGCUUCUCUUGAGAGCGGCGGACGGGUGAGUAAUGCCUAGGAAUCUGCCUGGUAGUGGGGGAUAACGUUCGGAAACGGACGCUAAUACCGCAUACGUCCUACGGGAGAAAGCAGGGGACCUUCGGGCCUUGCGCUAUCAGAUGAGCCUAGGUCGGAUUAGCUAGUUGGUGGGGUAAUGGCUCACCAAGGCGACGAUCCGUAACUGGUCUGAGAGGAUGAUCAGUCACACUGGAACUGAGACACGGUCCAGACUCCUACGGGAGGCAGCAGUGGGGAAUAUUGGACAAUGGGCGAAAGCCUGAUCCAGCCAUGCCGCGUGUGUGAAGAAGGUCUUCGGAUUGUAAAGCACUUUAAGUUGGGAGGAAGGGUUGUAGAUUAAUACUCUGCAAUUUUGACGUUACCGACAGAAUAAGCACCG